Molecule: transfer RNA, 69 nt
Filed under: Uta squamata
Lineage: Eukaryota; Metazoa; Chordata; Lepidosauria; Squamata; Phrynosomatidae
Description: tRNA-Gln
Rfam family: tRNA
About the family: Transfer RNA (tRNA) molecules are approximately 80 nucleotides in length. Their secondary structure includes four short double-helical elements and three loops (D, anti-codon, and T loops).
Source: RNAcentral
UAGAGGAAGUAUAAUGGAGUGCUAAAGAUUUUGAGUCUUUUCGUGCAGGUUCAAGUCCUGUUCUUCUAA